This is a long non-coding RNA of Oreochromis aureus, 288 nucleotides long. RefSeq lists it as uncharacterized. The record is from RefSeq and is a predicted model, not a curated record. Lineage: Eukaryota; Metazoa; Chordata; Actinopteri; Cichliformes; Cichlidae. The transcript is spliced from 4 exons.
CUGCUCAUGCGCAAGACUUCAAAUUUAACUCAAAAACGUUGUUUUGGCGCCAAGCUGCUGUUUCUUUGAGAGAUCCUGCCUUUACCUGCUCCCUCCUAUACUGAUGUGGUGUAUGUGGUACUGCUGAGCUUGUAUGUGAUCUGAACCAUUGUAAAGGUUGCAGUUCAAGGGCCUGAGGUGGAAGCAGAAUUUGUGAGGAUUACUACUGCUCCACUUGUUCCAAGGCUUUUUGCACAACUUGACCAAUACACUGACCAGCUCAUAAAAGUCUUCAAGAAAAAAGGAGGC